RNAcentral lists this microRNA (21 nucleotides) under Gyrodactylus salaris (gyrodactylosis fluke). Its description in RNAcentral is "gsa-miR-9404-3p". The record is from miRBase by way of RNAcentral. Lineage: Eukaryota; Metazoa; Platyhelminthes; Monogenea; Gyrodactylidea; Gyrodactylidae.
UGUGUUAGGCCUCCGAGUCUG